Molecule: long non-coding RNA, 877 nt
Filed under: Cricetulus griseus (Chinese hamster)
Lineage: Eukaryota; Metazoa; Chordata; Mammalia; Rodentia; Cricetidae
Description: lncRNA (ENSCGRG00015038291.1)
Source: RNAcentral
AAAGUGGGGGAAAGAAUCUUAGGACACAGUCCUUGCCACUAGACACCAACUUCUAAAAGAAGAAUUGCCAUCUUGAGUGAGAAACAGCUUCAGAGAUUGUACCUGCAGACCAGUGAAGGCUCAAGAAAGCUAUGUGUCACAGAAGAUGAAAUGCCCCCACCCAGUGUUAGAAGCAGACACUGCUCUAAGUGUUUCAAACAGAGGGUACCAAUAACAAAAGAAGUCUAGAUGGGGCCUUGGAGAAGGAAAGACCAACAAGAAAACCUGUAAGGCAACACAGAUUGACCACAGCGGGAAGUUCUACUACCUUUAGGUGUCUGUGCUUCUACAUGCUGCUGCAUCCGUACAGUAGCUCUGAAAUCACAAGAAUACGAUGACUGUAGAAGGAAGAAACAGAACUCGAGAUGCUUAUAUCCAUCAUUCUACAUGCAUAUCAACCCUGGAUACCUACAAUGAUCACUCAGUAGGAUAAAGUUAACUCACAUAGGCUACUUCUUAAAAACACAUGGUCUUAUCUUACCAGAGUACGCCUGGCAUGUCCUGUUUUUCCAGUCUCAACAUGGCAUCCUUUUGUGGUGCCUCUUUGCCUACCUUUCCCAGAAUUAUCUUCGUCUCCUAACCCCAUCUAUCUUCCUGCCUCUCCUAGAUAUUGGCCAAACAAUGUUUUAUUCAUCAACCAAUAAGAGAAACAUAUAUACAGAAGGACAUCCCCAUCACACAUAGGCUACUUCUUAACAAUUAUAUUCAAAGGAAACUGUGGUUGGUAUGUAAAAUAAAUUCAAAAGUUAAUAAAAAAUAUUUAAAAGGAUAUUCAUAUGAAUUAAAAUAUUCAUCCAAUUUCUUUUCCUUUUCAUAGUAAUAUUUGCUUUUUACUAAC